CAUACAAACAUACACACAUACAUACACAAAUACACAUACACACACACACCACAAACAAACAUAAAGAAACCAAGACACAGUCCCUCCCAAAGAUAGCAGGAUCCCUGUUGCAGGCCUCCUAAGGAUAGCAGGAUCCCUGUUGCAGGCAGGUUGGGUCAUGGAGAUAGAAGGCAGCUUAUCUUCCUGUUGUUUUGUAUCUGUUUCUCAUGUCCCUGGGUGCCAGCAAUCCCAACCUUUCUCUCUUGGAGUUUUGUCUCAACAGCCUGAGAGCCUGGGCCCUGGGUCCAGGCAGCAGGCUGUGUAGUCAAGGAGCUGACUCCUUCUUGCUCAGGGCCUGGCUAACAGGAAUGUCAGGGUAGCUGUGCUGCCACACUGCCACCCAGGGCAAAUCUCAGACAGAGCCUUUGCAGCCAAGUUCAACUCAUCUUGAAAGAUGUCUUUAUUUUAUGUGUAUGGAUGUUUUGCCUGCAUGUAUGUCUGUGUACUACAUACAUGACUGGUGCCCACUGAGGCCAGAAAAGGGUGUCAGGUCCCCUAAAACUGGAGUUCCAGAUGGUGGUGAGCUGCCCUGCGGGUGUCCAAGAACAUUUACCAAUACCCCUAACCUUUUCCUUUGUUGCUUUGUUUGUGUCUUUCUUCCAAACCCUGGCACUGAACAACAGACUGACCAUCAUCAUGUCAGCCCUGUCAUGCAUCCUGCAGUCUUGGGACUGCCUUGCUCUAUGGGGUCUCCUUCGACCCUGUGCCAGCUGACAAGGAGGACCACAGAUAGCCAUCAGCACAGGGAGAUUUAGCAUGAAAAUGUGAGUGGCUUUGAUGGAGCAUGUCCAAACUGAACACGAAGUGCUCUUGAAGGAAGCAGUUCAUAUCUGCUAGUUCAUGAAGUCUGACCUGGGUAUCACUAUCAAGGAUUGCAGAGUUGGACUGAAAAAAGAUCUGUGCCACCUCGAUUGUUUGUUGAGCACCUGAGGCACACCACACCCACCAAGUAUCCAGGGCCCUGAGGAAGAAAAGGAGGAUGCCACUCACCAAGUCCUUGGAAGAGACAGUCUCAGAGCGAACGGUGGGCAAUCCCAUUUCCUGGGUGGAGAGCCAAAGGAAACGGAACUGUAUUAAAGACACUUGUGUUCAUCACAGAACACUUCAUAAUGACAAAGACACUGGUGCAACCUGCGUGUCUGUCAGCUGAUGAGUGUUCAUGAUAACAGAAAGUUUAAAUACGAUAAGGAAAAUAUUAUACACAUACACAAUGGGGUACUAUUCAACUCCCAAACUAAAGCCCCGUCAUUUGUGACAAUUAUAUUGUGGUAUAAUGUUGUACAGUUUGACUAUCAAUAACAGCUGCCGCAUACUGUGUAUCCCAAGAAGCAAGAAGAACUUUGAGUGUUUUCUCCAUGAAGAAAUGAGAUUGAUCGAGGAGGUAGAUAUGCCCGUAUUAUUGUAUUGAAACAUGUGGUACCUUAUGAUGGUGCACGACUUUAAGUGUCAGUUAAGAUGUAAAUAAAUAUUAAAUGAACUAGAUUUGUAUCGUCAUGUUAAGUGACAUAAGUGCAGUGGAGAAAACUAGAGGAAGAGAAUUAGAACUGAAGGCUGGGCAUGGGCGGUGACUCUAAAACAGGCAUCUCUAGUGAGGUGGCAUGUGAACAGUGACAUUUGCGGCAGUGAUGGGAAGACAGUCCAGAUAGAAGGAAUAGCGAGCACAAAGCUCUCUGCUGCACUGGCCAAACCUGUUGAUGAAUUAGCAAGAAAGUCAGCGGGCCUGGUGACUAGCAUCUGUAACCACAGUGCUUGGGAGGCUGAGGCGGGAGUUAGAGGGUUGCUUGGGUUACAGAGUGACACUGUGUUUCAAAAAGAAACAAAGGGAGGAAGGAUGAAAGGAAAGAAGGGAAAGCCAGAAGGUCCCCAGCUGUAAAGCUGCAUGUGAUGGAGAGGAUGGAAGAGCUCAGCCAGUCUGGACCAGUGAUGCUGAUGUUGGGAUGAAAGGACCAUGUAGAAACCGCUGCGUUGAAGAGUGACCAUAAGCAGGGAGUUAAGCACCAGCUUUAGGAGGCACCACCUCCCGCAUCAGGUAAAGGCUGGGCUGCAAAACGCUCUGACCUUGAUCCCGCAGACCUGGCUUUUCCAGUACCCAUCAUUACUUUCUGCUGAGCAAUGGAAAGACUGGUCUAGAAGGCCUUCUCCUGGCCUGAUCCUUCACUGGACCAUCAGCCCAUCUUUGAGGCCUCAGCCUGACUUCCAAGAGCAGCACUGGGUGAAGUACAGUGGGCACACCGGGAUCCAACACACACACAUCACAGAUCCAACUGAACUUCGGUCCAAGCCUUAGUGUGUCUUGGGUCGACUCAGAACUGAGUAAUGAUCACUCAUGACUCAACAAAACCCACUUUGGAAUCUGGAUGCCCAAGAGAGGAGCUUCAAGCACCUUAUAAAUAUUAAUUAAAAGACAGCAUCCUGAAAGACUGGUGUAAUUACAAAAGAGCUUACCUGGGCUUGCUCCAGUGGCUUCAGAGAGUUGUACUUGGACCAGUGGUUAACAAUAGCAAGCUGCCACCGUCUCACGAGCAGCACAGAAGGCUGGGCAGGUUCUGAGCCCUCCUUCUGCAUGGUGACAUGUGGACAGUUAUUUUCCACACUUUUCAGAUGGGCUUCUAAGAUCCAGAGUUUCUUUCUGGGUUGGAAACCGAUAGAACAUGGACUCCAUUCAAGAUGCUUAGAAUACGACUGACCCAUUCUAUUUCCACAUAAUUACCAUUUAUAACCGCAUGAUUCUUUAUGGUUUACAAAACACUUAAGCAUGUACCAUGUAUUUGUUUGUCACGAUACCUCACUGAGCAGGAAGCAACACUUCCGCUUUACAGGUGAGCAGAUGAGGGCCUAAGGAAGAGCACAUGCAGCUCUCUCAAGUUCUUGUGCAAGCCAGUGUAACUCACAUCUGUUCCAUGGUUUGUAGUUUACGGCGUGCCUUAUGAUGUUGAACAUUGAAAUGGCUCUGUGA
Mus musculus (house mouse) is the source of this 2995-nucleotide long non-coding RNA. RefSeq annotates it as predicted gene, 33873. The record is from RefSeq and is a predicted model, not a curated record. The transcript has 4 exons. NCBI's taxonomy places the organism in Eukaryota, Metazoa, Chordata, Mammalia, Rodentia, Muridae.